Molecule: small nucleolar RNA, 132 nt
Organism: Dipodomys ordii (Ord's kangaroo rat)
Lineage: Eukaryota; Metazoa; Chordata; Mammalia; Rodentia; Heteromyidae
Gene: SNORA63
Rfam family: Small nucleolar RNA SNORA63
About the family: E3 belongs to the H/ACA class of snoRNAs and is involved in the processing of eukaryotic pre-rRNA and has regions of complementarity to 18S rRNA.
Source: Ensembl
CAGCAGGAUUGAGACUACAAUGUAGCUGUUAGGAACUGCGUUGUUGUUUGCCCUGCUCAGAUUAAAGUUGUUUCUUAACUAUACCUGUCUGCUGUACUCCUGUAGCAGCCAGGGAUGCUUUGUCUCAUACAU